AGCUGAUGAAGUUAAACCAGGAACAGCUCUUGGUCUGUAAAGAGAGCUGAGUUGGUAAAGAAAAAUGGUCGACAGCAUUUUAUAAACUUACUGUGUGGACGUCUGCUUUCAAACAUGAGACAUGUUCAGUGUUUUGUUGUUAAUUUAUCAGCAGAUUAUAAAAAAAUUACAUCAUGUGGAUUUAAUUACUUUCUAUUUUAGCACAAAGCACAUGUACUACUGAUAUGUAUUUUGAUUUAGUAUUUAUGGGCUGCAUAUUAUUAGUUUUCAUUUUGUCAUUUAUUUUCAACUCUUCUUUAAGUUUGCUACAGUAUGUUUGAGCUUUAGUACCCAGGUGAUUAUAGUCAGCGUCUUUUUCAGAGUUAAAUGAGAAAGAUCAAGUUCAACAGUUACUUUAUGUCAUGAUCUGCUAUCGAACAACAUAUCCUCACAUGUAAAUGUUUUUCUCUUCAAAAAUAUAUUUGUGAAAGUU
Long non-coding RNA from Micropterus dolomieu (smallmouth bass), 472 nucleotides. RefSeq lists it as uncharacterized. The record is from RefSeq and is a predicted model, not a curated record. The transcript has 2 exons. NCBI's taxonomy places the organism in Eukaryota, Metazoa, Chordata, Actinopteri, Centrarchiformes, Centrarchidae.